Echinostoma caproni is the source of this 45-nucleotide non-coding RNA. The record is from Rfam. Lineage: Eukaryota; Metazoa; Platyhelminthes; Trematoda; Plagiorchiida; Echinostomatidae.
GCACUGCUGACGAGUUCCAAAUAAGACGAAACAGCGGUCUAGUGC